Non-coding RNA from Arachis ipaensis, 482 nucleotides. Lineage: Eukaryota; Viridiplantae; Streptophyta; Magnoliopsida; Fabales; Fabaceae. The record is from RefSeq and is a predicted model, not a curated record.
UGUCGGAGCUGCCGCCGGAUCAGCUUGGGAUUGCGGCUGUUCCAUUUUGCUCUUACUGUAGGAUUGAGUUGUCGGGAUUGCCUGUUGCAAUUAAAACCAUUUCUGCUAUUACGGAAGUGAGCAGACCUGUGAUUGAAGCUACAGUUUAUUUUGGGCGGAGAGGAAUGAUUCUUGUGACGCCUUUAGUUUAUGGGUUCAACUUUUAAGGUAGGAGUUUUUCUUAAAAUCUAUUUUACAUUAUAGAGUUGCGAUAAAUAGAUAUUGAUGUAAAAAGAUAUAUUUCUGUGAUUAUAUUUGUCUUGUGGAUAUGAUGGUUUAUUGGACUGGAUUAUUGGGUGCUUGAUUGCGUGAGUGGUGUAUGAUUGUUGAUAAAAAUCGGUUUGAAAUGUUAUUUAUUUGAUUAUUAGGAAAGGUGGAUUUUCUUGGUUUUAGAGUUUACUUGGUAAUAUAAAUGAAACGAUUUUGGAAAUAAUUUGAGAUAU